AGCUUCCAGGAGGUCGGCCGUCCCUUCCAAGAGGCCACGCUCUUCUCCACAACUUCCUACCACUUUUUAAAAGAAGAGAUUUAAGAAAUGGUGUUCAGAUGGGCAGAGAAUCUCUGCUGACAACGAGUGGCAGAAGUGUCUCUCCCCACCCAGGCCAGGUGGCGGGCAGCUCCUCCUCCCUGUGGCUUCUGGGUCUUGGGGGAAGUCAGCUCCAGACAGACUGGAGAGGCCGCUGCAGAGGGUCGAGGUGGCUGUGGGUUGGCACCUGGGGUCUCUGUGAUGGGGGCUGGGCCAGGAACAUGGCGUCCAGGAGCCCUUCCCCUUGUAGGGUUGUGCUGGCUCCUUUGAGGCCUUCUGCCAGGCCCACCUGUCAUGCCCAGCUGCUCUGACCCCUCGCACGGGCAUCCCUGAGUCUGCCUCAGUCCAGAAGCAGAGGUGGAGGCAGCUCAGGAUUGGGGUCAAUGUGGCACUCCAGGCCCCUGCAAGACUUGGAACAUGCCCCUCCUUCUGGGAAGUCUCUGGUGUCCUUCUCCAGGCUGGCACAGUUCUGAUUCCUAUCCUUAGGAAAUCUGAGGAGUCUCUGGGACCGGGAGGUCUGGGUGGCCUGUCCUGGCCAGGGAGUGGCAACACCCAGUGCCAGUGGGAUUCCCACCUGGCGUGAGGACACCCAACCCUGGAAGGCACCCCCGUGUAAUUCCUGGCUAGCAGUUGAAGAAGGGGGCCUGCACUUCUCUCCAAGACACCACGUCCACACCGGGGGCUGCCCAGUGUCAUGCUGGUCUUCACUUGGUGAAGGCCAGUCCCCGCUGGAGACACUGGCCGUGCCCUGAGUCAGGGACAGGCAGGAGGGUGCAGCUGCUGCCUUCUCUGGCAUGUUCUAGGGAGCUGCUGAGAUACAGAGAUGUGAGAGACGCGGAUGAAAAGAGGGGCCACACUGACUGCAGAGUGCUUUGCUGCCUGCGAGGGAUCGGUCCACUAAGGUGGCUGCGGGGGCCGCUGGCUGCAAAGAGAACACGUGGAAUCAGAAUCCUUUGGAUGGGCCAGCCCGAGCUGCUGGAAAGGCAAGAACAAGAUCUGACCUGUAGUGGAUCGGGAGCUGCCCACAGGAACCGAGCGCCCUUAGCCUGAGUGAUGAGAGUGUGGAGAUGUGGCCAGCCGCCCUGGGCUGUGUGGGUGUGAACUGUGAGCACUGAGCGCACAGGGUGGACAGACCCCGUGUUGUCCCUCUGUUUGGGCGGGCUAUGAAUGCGUCCCUUUGCUCACUCUGCCUAUGAUCCCACAUAGCACACGAGAUGGGCGUGGCCUUCAUAGGUGUCAGUCAACCUGCCCACAGCAAGACAUCCUGAAGUUAGACUCAACCCCCUGAAACGACCCCUUGCCUCAUUUGAAUGGCUUUUCCCCAGUAAAAGGGUUCAGCAUGUGCUCCUCGCUGUCUUGCCUGCCUUGCCCCCCUUGUGGGAGCUGUGGCUGAGGAGAGGUCACUGAACCCAAAGAAAAGGUACUUUCUGUGUUUUUAUUUAGUCCCAAAAUUCACUUGGAGUGACCCUUGACUGGUUUAGACGUGUGACACAACAAUUGGCGCCUGAACAGGGACUCCAAUGUGAAUUUUGAGAACUGGUGGUUUGUUUUUUUCUCUCCAGUAGUGAUAGUGUGCAUAGAUUUAAAAAUUAUUGUGGAUUCAUUUGUAAAAGGGUGAUAAUUAGACAAAAGAAAGUCAGUGACCUUAAACUUAUAAUAUCUGGAAAUUUUUGUUUUUAGAGACAGCAAGAAUUUUAUUUUUUGCAAUUCUGGGGACCAUAAAUAGACAUAAAAAUGAGGAAUUAGAAAAUUGCAAGUACCACAGAAAUUAAGAUGAUUGAUAGAGGGUAUGUUGCUAAGUUCAGUCCUCUCCCAUGGGAAAAGCGCUUUGUGGAUUUUUUCUGAUUGUUUUUGUGAAUUCUUAUAUUUUGAAAUAUUAGGUAAAGUUUUUUUUUUUUUUUUUGAGUUAUAUGUCAGGGAUCUGCGCUUGGAGAGCGAGAGAGCAAAGGCAAAGAUUUCUUAUGGUAAGAUUGAUAUGGGGGAUUUUUUCUACUUCUAGAGAAGCAAAUUUCGUUUUUCUGCUGUUUUGGGGCAGAUGCAGGGUUUGGCUGCUGUCCCUUGUGGAACCGCCAGCUAAUUCUGCCCCUUGGAAACCUUGGUAACCAAACCCUUGAGCCAGCCUCUGCUGAGGGGCCCAUUUUUCAAAUUCAAGAUGCUGCAGGAGGGGCGCUCUGGGGGAGGAGGGUGCAGGGAGCGGGUCCUUUCCCUGACAGAGUGCUGCCCACUGACCCUGGCUCUGGAGCUCACGGAGCAGGAGGUGGAAACACAGGUAGCAGCGGCUUGCAGGAGCACAGGCAGGGCCACCGCCCUGGACGCGGGGCUCCAGCAGGGCACCCCGGGAGCACCCGCGCGGCGCUGCCCCCGAGGGUUUCCAAGUGAGAACAACAACCAGAUGGAGCAGAAUCCCACACCUGGGGACGUUCUGGGACCGAAUAACAGCUGGGAGCCGCGAGCAUCUGCCCCAGAAACUUCCAAGACGCCACCGUUCAGGGGUGCCAGCCGCUGACGGGGACUCGCAGGGUCACGAACCUGGCCAUCACAUCCCCUGCAAUCCCAAGCAAUACGGGCACCUGCGAGAACGGCCAUUUACAGCGGCAGGGGCGCUGCUGUCACCCCGGGACCACCGGCGGACUGCCCACGCUAGCGCGGAGGACUGCGGACCCUGGCCUGGCCAUCGGUGCAGGCCCACCGCGCGGCUCCCAUGGAGAUGCUGACAGGGAAAGGACAAAUUGCUGGUUUGCGACCCCAGCUGGACAGCCCAGCGGGCAACGCCCGCCCCGAAAAACUGGCGGGACACCCACACAGUGCAGCUGCUCGGUGUCCUAUGCCCCGGGGCGAGCCCGGGCUGCGGGGCCACCAGCGCCACUCUUGCUUCCUCUCCGUCGUAACCGCCUGGCGCCUGGCUUCAGGUUCCCACUGUGAACCUCCACCCGACCUCGGCGACCCGGGGCACCGGCGAGGUGCCCGGCCACGUGGUCGCACGGAGAUGUGGAGUGGACAUGCAAAGGGACGGCCAACAUCGGGGUUCUCCCCGAGGCUCUACACCUAGGAGUUCUCCGGGCACACGGCGGGGACCAAAUGGCAGAAAAGUCCCGCCUCCCGCGUUUUCCCUUUCCCUGUCACUCAAACGGGGCUUUUGGCCCCGCCCCCGCGUGGCUGGCCCCGGGGCUGCGGCCCUCGUCUUGCAGGAGAUGUCCACUGCCGGUACCAGCCAAAGAUCCCUUCCGCGGGCGCCUGCGGGCAGCCUGAGCCCGACUGUUCUCGAGCUGGGCAGCCUCAUCUUUUCUCCACAGCUGCAGAGGCCGUGUCGCGACCGCCAGAGAGACAGGGCUCCUCCUGUCUUCCUUUUGGAGCUUAUGAGGAUGCAUUUUGCUCAUCACAGGAACAAAAGCCGGAGACAGUUUGUCACAAUGUUCCCGUGAUGACCGAAAAAAUCCUUGUUUUCAUUUGUAACUAUACAAAUACAAAAAAAUAAUAAAUGUAUUGGCUGGGUUCUUAUUUUAACUAAAUUAAGGGUACACCCAUAGUUAAAAUAAGUUGAAAUGGAUCCAAAUAGUUUAAGAACCAUGUAGUUUCAUAAGGUUGACAUAAUUAUAGCUAUACCUUUAUUCUUAAUACAUAUUUUUCCAGUUAUUUAAAUAAUCUAUGAUCAGUAAUUCAUAAAAUAAUUAACACAUAUGUCUAUUUAUUUAAUUAAUAUGUGUCUAUUUGCUUCUAAUUGUUUUCCUUCAACAGAAAACACAGAAUUUAUAUUUCUUAUACAUGCAUUUAUCUGAUGCUCUGCCUUUUAUAGUUUAAAACAUUUAAGAUAACGCUGGGGCUGGGGCUCAGCAGUAGAGCACUUGCCUAGCACCACAUAAAAAUAAAUAAAUAAAAUAAAGGUAUUGUGUCCAUCUACAACUAAAAUACAAAUAUUAAAAAAUUAAGAUAAAUGUGUUUUACUAUAAGAAUUUUGCUUUCAAGAAAAUACAACCAUCAAGUAAUCUCUAAUUCUCAAAUUAUUGUAUAAAUUUUAUUAGAUGAUAAACAGAUAUGAUUCUGUCUACAGAAAUGUCUAAGGGCUUUAAUGAUAUUUUUCAUUGAGAUAUUUCUUCUUAUUAAGGUACAAUAAUUUGUUUAGAUUCUAAGAUUUACAGAAAUUGUUCCAAAGUAUAACCAAAAGAAAUUCCAAAAGGAGAGGAAAAUACUUCCACAGAGAGCAAGCACACAUUGGAGAUCUAAGAAGAACAAAGAAAUUAUCUUUGGGUAAAACAAGGUCUUUAUUGUCUAGAUUUUAAUGAUAAAAAAAUUUUCCUAAAUAAGGAAAUCCUUAUAUCAUUAUCUAGACUGAUGAUAUAGAAAGUUAAAAUAAUUGGAAAACAAAUGUAUGUAUAACUGGACUGACUAUAACAAUCUGAACUGAUUAAUUCUAGGAUAUUUCAGACUCCAUUCCCUGAUUUUAUUAUACUAAUAUAAACCAAGAUUGGGUCCAUAUUUCAACAUGAUAAAGACCUAUUAAAAUGUUAAGUUUGUUUCCAUCAAGUAAGGUCUUUAUUUACCUAGUGAUUCUUAAUGUUUAAGAUAAGGAUUAAUUUUAGUUAAUUAAUUUACUUCUUUGAUUAAAUAAUAAAUAUUUUGAAAUGCUGACUUAAAUUUCAAUUUGACACUUCUUCUUGGAGACUAAAUUUGAUUGAUUCAAAGAUGCCAGUAGUGAUUCCUGUUGAUUCUUACAUAUUACUUCUGUUGUUGGAUACUUGUAGGAUUUGGGAGAGCAUUUUAUUAGAACUUGAGCUCUCCAAAUUAAAAUCAUACAUUAGUUUUGAACAAUAAAAUCUACAAACUUUGUUGGAAAUUUUUUGUAUUAUCUAAGUUCUCUGACUGGACAUAUUAUCCAUAAAAAAAUAUGAUAAGGUUUAUAUACUACUCCCUACACUGGGAAGCGGCCUUAAUCAUAUUUUUUAAAAAGACAAGAGAUACCUAUUUAAAAGAUAAUAUUCUGAGGUAUAGAGAUAUUUUGAGACUUUCUCUCAGGAAGGGAUUGAGGGUUCUUAAAUUGUCCAUUUGCAGGUAACAUCAAAAUGGAUCAGCUAGUCUAUGUACUAGAAAAUCACAAUGAUUAAUAAAAAAUGUCUCAAUUUUAUAUCUAGCCUCAUUUACUAUUAACAGAGAAGGCCUUAAAAAUUACCUACUGGAAACAAAGAUCAAAGGGGACCUCUCAAACUUAAUACAGAUCAGAACAAACUCAGGGAGGUUUUUGAGAGAUCCAAAUUCAUAUAUUGUAAUAUUUCAAAAUUUAUGCCAGAUGUCUAACCUUAUCUAGAGAGAUGUGCUGUUACUUAGCUAAACCUUAAAAUAGAGGGCCAUCUUAAAAACAGUUUUAAAGGAGAUUUAUCUUAACCAUGUCCUGAUUAUCUGUCUGGAGCACAGACAACUUCCCCAAACAGAUAUCCAACACAUAAACAAAAUGCCUAAAAAGGAAUUUUAGUAAGCCUUUAAAAAAUCCUAUUUUCAUAGAGAGACUCAAAAAGACAGUGCAGCACCUUAAGCUUCUAGGGGGCCACCCAUUUUCAAAGUUGGGUUUAUCAUCCAGUUAGCCCUAGACAUUCCCUGGGAUUGGCAAAGGUCAACACAGUCCUAGACAAGUUUAAAUGUUACACCAUAGUUGAUUGGAGACCAAAGGAAGGAAGACAGACAUACAGACAGAAAGAGAUUGAAAUGCUAAUCUCACCCCAAGAAAAAUAAACUUCCUUGUUAACAAGUUUACUCCUUUUCUAAAUUAUAAUCAAGUUUUGAAAGCCUCUAAACAUUAAAACAGGGUCUUACUUUGAACCCUUGUCAACAGUUUAUCACGGAGAAAAAUGACUCUAAAAAUAGUUACCCCUAAAAUAUUAGACAGACAGCCAUAAAUAAAUCAGCUCAACAGCUGAUAGCUUAUUUCAAUAAAAAAUUUAGCAUGAUAGACCUUUUCUCAACUUUAAUAAUAUAAGGUGAUGCCCU
This 6054-nucleotide long non-coding RNA is filed under the name Marmota monax (woodchuck). The record is from RNAcentral. Lineage: Eukaryota; Metazoa; Chordata; Mammalia; Rodentia; Sciuridae.